Long non-coding RNA from Dromaius novaehollandiae (emu), 1997 nucleotides. RefSeq lists it as uncharacterized. The record is from RefSeq and is a predicted model, not a curated record. NCBI's taxonomy places the organism in Eukaryota, Metazoa, Chordata, Aves, Casuariiformes, Dromaiidae. The transcript is spliced from 3 exons.
AGGUCCUGGAAGAGGCCAGUCGCAUUGCAAAGCAGCUGCUGCGGGAGAGCUGGGCUGCCCAGCGGCUGCCGGCGCAGAGGUGCAGGACAAGCCCUUGUGCACCAGCAUCUUGCACUUGCAGUGGAGCUGGGGCACACAGUGAUUUCCAGAGUCCUAGCUCAGCUGGCUGCAAGGCAGGAUCUCCUCCCAGGCCUCGGGCAGCUUUUCCAGUCUGUCGGGUCAGGCUGCCUGUUUUGUGGCUACCAGUGCCCAGCUCAGUCUGUCUCCCAAGCAUGGAGUUGCAUAUGGGGAGUGGGACAACGUACAUGGAGCACAGUGAUGAUGAGGGAGCCCAGAAGCACAUGAAGAGUGAAUGAACUGGAUGGCCCAGUUAUAUUGCCAGAAUGCAGCAUUAAGGAGUGCUGCAUAAUCCUCUACAAGACUGCUUCUUCCUCAUAGCUCAGCCAGAUGGGCAAGUAGAGGGAUGAAGACUUUUCAUAGAAACCUUCAGCUGAUCUGCCUGGGUUAUACAGCAAAUAGCUGGGAGAAGAAGGAAGAAUGAAACAUGACAGUUCUUCAGGUAGUUGCUACUUGUAAAAAUGUUCUGACUCAAAAUACUGUUUAAUCACACUAGAAGUGAGGCACCUACCUUGUUAGCAGAGAUUAGGAGUGUUGCGUAGUAAAGCUCUGUUGCACAAAACAGAACUUCCACUGACGCAAUCUGGAUGGUAUAUUUCAAAAUAUUAAUCAAGGAUUAGUCCUUGGCACGGACUUAUGAAAAAAUAUUAAUGCAACUGAGGAUUUAUAACCCAUGUAAAUAAUUCAUGGAGUACAUGUUUUAUGAGACAGGUCCUUGGCUUGUGUAAGCUGGAGCAGGGCCUUGAAGCACAAACAGCUGGGCAAUGCCAAGCGAACCACGCAGCCCAGAGAGCGUGUGCCCUCCUGAGCAAGGCUUGGCGGGGAGGUGGGGGCACAGCUGUGAUGCUUUCCAUCUCCCUUGCAGCCCCUGCCCCUCUGGCUGUAUCCAUAGCAGGCCACCAAAAGGAGAAUCCACCCCUCCGAUUGCAGUAACUCCUUCUGCUUUGUGCAAAGUUGUCUAGAUCAACAAUUUUCAGCCUGGACAAACAGGAAAGGUAAUUUGUUUGCAAACAUACUGAUGGAGAAGCACAGAGCAGCGGAUGGAAGGAGUGACAAUCUACUGCCAUGCCCCUGUCACAGGACUGCGUCCUGCAGCUGAGCCAACACAGCGUGACCAACACAUUGCAUCAGUAGGCCAGGAGUUAUUUUUCAAGCAGGGACAUGGACUAAGUGCUGAGGAAUUGGGGACAGAAGGUCCUCUCCUCUUAGGCUGCAGGAUGUGCAGGGUGACACAGGGUGACCUGGUAACUCCAGUACUUGGGCUCAUUCCUUCCUACAUGGCCUUGGAAAAGCAAAGUCAUGUGAGAGUCCCACUGGGGUUUCUCCUUCCCCUCAAGGAAGGGGAGGAGGUUUUGCAAGAGCCACCCCUCUCAGGUGGCCAAGCAGCAGCACUGAUGUGAGCUGUGGAAGUGCUUUCUGUAAUACUAACGCAGCCCUGUAGAGGGAAUGCUUUGGUAAGACUUAAAUGAUGCUAUAUAUCACUAUACAAUAUCAAGGAUCAAAUUUAUUUGUGGUGUCACCUGCUGAGUUCAGGCAUUAUCAUCAGGAGGAAUUUUGUCCAGUAGUUUUUUUCUAAAUUACUUAUCACACUUUAAAAUUUCAUUCCUGAUUAAAGAGGUGGAAGUGUCUAUUUGAUUCAAUGCAAGUGAUAGGCUUUGAUGCUCUGUUACCUGGGAAUAAAAAGAUUAAGACGACAUGCAUAUUAAAAGUGCUUUUCACUCAGUGCCUGCAAAAGGCCCCAUGGCCAAAUGUAACAGACCAAAUCUGUAGCGUGUUAUGAACUUCUGUUGCUCUUCAUCUUAAAUUGGCACAGGAGAAUCAUAAUUCCUUCAGAACAACAGUGGGAAACAGGGUUUGUUAACUGUAAACAAAAAGCAGAA